GAUGAACGCUGGCGGCGUGCCUAAUACAUGCAAGUCGAGCGAACGGACGAGAAGCUUGCUUCUCUGAUGUUAGCGGCGGACGGGUGAGUAACACGUGGAUAACCUACCUAUAAGACUGGGAUAACUUCGGGAAACCGGAGCUAAUACCGGAUAAUAUUUUGAACCGCAUGGUUCAAAAGUGAAAGACGGUCUUGCUGUCACUUAUAGAUGGAUCCGCGCUGCAUUAGCUAGUUGGUAAGGUAACGGCUUACCAAGGCAACGAUGCAUAGCCGACCUGAGAGGGUGGUCGGCCACACUGGAACUGAGACACGGUCCAGACUCCUACGGGAGGCAGCAGUAGGGAAUCUUCCGCAAUGGGCGAAAGCCUGACGGAGCAACGCCGCGUGAGUGAUGAAGGUCUGCGGAUCGUAAAACUCUGUUAUUAGGGAAGAACAGAUGUGUAAGUAACUGUGCACAUCUUGACGGUACCUAAUCAGAAAGCCACGGCUAACUACGU
RNAcentral lists this ribosomal RNA (496 nucleotides) under uncultured bacterium. Its description in RNAcentral is "partial 16S ribosomal RNA". It matches the Rfam family "Bacterial small subunit ribosomal RNA", at positions 28 to 506 of the family's 1533-position model. The record is from RNAcentral.